This is a long non-coding RNA of Cucumis sativus (cucumber), 687 nucleotides long. RefSeq lists it as uncharacterized. Lineage: Eukaryota; Viridiplantae; Streptophyta; Magnoliopsida; Cucurbitales; Cucurbitaceae. The record is from RefSeq and is a predicted model, not a curated record. The transcript has 2 exons.
UUGUAUCCUAUUUGACACCUUUAAGGAUUAUUUUGUGUGUUGUAUUUUGUUUUUCAUAGACACCUGUCUAAUGAAGAGCUGUUACCUAUAAUUGGAAAAAUUCACCCAUCAGAGCAUUACUAUGCAAAACAACAGGCAGAAUAUAUCAUACAGCAGGCUGAUGCAGAUAAAGAUGGACGUCUCACCUUGGCAGAAAUGAUCGAUCAUCCUUACGUAUUUUACAGUGCCAUUUUCAACGAAGAUGAUGAGGACGAUUAAUGAUUUCCACGAUGAGUUUCGUUAAGUUUUUUCAUGUAUGGACACCUCCCUCUAUCUAACAAACUUCCGCGGACAAGAUCAGUCUUGAUGUUUGUUGCUGUUGCAGGAAUAGAUCGAAUAGUCAGAUAGGAUUAGCAGUAGAGAAAACGGAGUUCUUUCGCAGCAUGGAAUCGGGAUACAGAGUUUGAAGUCUUAGGCAACAACUUGGAGGAGAUCUCUCUGGCAUGGUGGGUCAGAACUGGGUUAAACUUCUUCAGCCAUGGCUCGCCCAUAUGGUGGUAUCCCUCUUUUUGUAGCAUAUGAAACCCCCAUCUUGUCUAAGAUAACAAUGGUUUCACACCUUAGAUUAUAGACAUUUAUUUGCAAAUAGUUUUGUUAAGUUCAAUGUCCUUGGUAUAGAAUUACCAUUUAAUUGUUAUUUGUUACUAA